ACCAGGGAAGCCCUAUUCGUAUGUCUAUAUGCAUGUUUAUUCACACUUCUGCCUCUUCCAGCGUCCCGCGGCUCCUGCAAUCUCUGCUCCAUCUUCAGGGGUCCUUCUCCUCUCUGUGUCUCCGUCUCUGUCUCUCCUCUUAUAAAGACCCAGUCUUUGGAUUCAGGGCCCACCCUAAUCCCAUAUAACCUCACCUUAACUUAGUUGCAUCUGCAAAGACCCCAUUUCCAAAUAAGGCCACAUUCUGAGGCCCUGGUGGACAUGAAUUUGGGGGACACUCUCCCACGCAGCACACUAUGAAACCACAGUCCAUAUAAACGGCUUUGGAGGCAUGCUCCCUCAGCCACCGGCUCCCCACGCUGUGCUCCGGCCACGCGUCCCCGCAGGGUGUGGCCAGCAUUCCGGCUUCGUGUCCGAGGGCCUUUGCAUGGGCCGCUCCCUCUGCCCCCACGUUCCCGGGGCUCGUUCCUCACUGAAUUCUAAUAUCACCUUCCUGGUCAUCCAAAGCAAACCAGCCGUCCUGGGCAUCCUGAGCCCCACUGUGAGGCACUGGCCUCCGUGCAGCACACAAUGUGGCUGCGUGAGGCCACAUGUGCCUCUAGCCGGAUGGCGCCCCCAGGGCAGGGCUCUGUCUCUGCUCACAGCGGCACCCCACCGCCUGAGCAGCGCCGGGCGCGUGGCCUGUGUGGAGGGGCUGAGGGUCCCAGGCAGAGCCGGCAGCUGGCAGGGCCCCAGAGCAGGCGUCUCAGCACGCCCAGCAGCAGGAGGAUGGCUGAUUUAAUUGAAGCCCAGAGUCCCUGCAAUAAGCUAGGAAAUGUAUACCUGCAAUUUGUGGGCCGAGCUGAGCAGGCAGACGCCUCAGGCCUCGUUACGCCUCCCACGGGAGGAUUUACUGGGGCCAAAGGCGCUGCAGUCUGGAUUGGCUCCAGCCCGCCAGCUCGCUCUGGGUGGCUGGGCGGCAGGUUUAGGGGCGCCCGCCCAGCCCUGCCCAGCAGGCCUUGGGGGUCAGGACGAGCUCCCAGCCAGUCUGGGCGUUCUCUCCGGUCUGCUCCCCGGCCUGCGUGAGAAGGGGUUAAGGGAACAUCUGUCCAGCUACUCGGUUGUGCCAGUGUCAUCCAAGGGAUCAAGCAGGGGACACACCUGCAGCUGGCAGGGCAGGGCCGGACAAGGGCUCAGUCCACAGAGUAACCGGCGUCCCCAGAUGGACACGUCGGAGCCCCAUGUGAGGCCACAAGGCAGCUGCGAGGCCAGCGCCCAGCGUUCGGAAGGCUCUGUCCCCGUUCCUAGGCCCCGGGGGGACCAGAUACUCAGCCUUCUGCCACCCAGGGAAGAGUGCCAGCAGAGAGAGCUGUCAGCACAGAAGCCUGAGGAGGCCACCUGGCCAGGGCACAGGAAGGUGGGGGGCAAGGAGGCCGAGAGAGAGCAGGGUCCCCCAGGCCAUUUAUAAAGACUGGCUUUUAUUCAAGUGGGGGGACUGCUCAGAGAAGAGGGAGGGCGCUGAGCAGGGCAGGGUCUCGCCGGCCCAGGGCAGAGGGCAGGGAUGUGCCUGGGGGUCAGCCAGGGGGCGCCAGGAGGAACCUGAAGGGCUUGCUGCCCCCGGCCCUGCACCGGCGCUCCGACAGGUGACGCGGGGGAGGGGAGCCAUUAAUUUGGAAUAAAUAGGAGUGUGUGUGGUUUUACGGGUUACGGCUUGAUAAAUAAGACUCUGGGUCUGUAUGUGAGCAUGUGCGAACAUGUGUGCAUAUGUGCGGGAGUGUGUGGGCAUGUGUGUGAAUGAGUGUGUGAGCGUUGAAUGGUCGGUGUAGUGUGUGAAUGUGCUGCCUGACUGGGGUGGCCUAAGGUGACGUGUGUGACACACCCUUCCUGAAGUUCAGAACAAGAACAAUCGAACGCCCCACCGGGCUGUGGGGCGAGGCCGCCUGUGUGCCGGCAGCCGGUGGCGAAGACGGCCAGGGCGCCGCGGACCCCUGCACCCACGCCCCGUGACUUGUGACAGCCUUCCCAUCGAGGUGGUGGGGGGAGGUAUACUUCCCCUCCCCCGGAAACAGGGCUGGCCUGUGUCCCACCCAGAUGGUCAGACCAGGGAGUGUCAUCGCUCGAGCCCCGGACCCAGGCCUCAGGAGGCCCCCGCUUCCGGAGAGCCCCAGGGGAGGCUUCCGGGGAAGACAGAAGACCCGGGCCAGCCAGCCGAGGCGAGAGGCCACCACUCCACACCCCGCACGCCCCAGCAGAGCCCCGACAGACCUGGAGCAGCACGUGGAAAGGGCUUCCUUCCCAGCACAGCCGAGCAGCUGAGGCCGGGCCCUCUGGAGGCCAAGGGGGUGUGUGGGAAGCCCCGUGAGGAUAAGAAGGCCGACCACAAGCCUCCCGCUGCACGACCUUGCGGCCAGCGUAGCACAGCACUGGCGGGCGUCAGCACUCAUCUAAGGCCUUGUUACGGGUCGAGAGUUUGAAUGGCCUUCCAAGAGUGUGUGCCCAGCACCUGUGAGUGCGACCUCAUUUGGAAAAAAUCUUUCCAAUGUGAUCAAGUUAAAAUGAGGUCUUACUGCUGCACUGAAUCCCUGGAAGCAGACACGGCAGGGGAUGAAGGUUGCUAAUCUGCUGGCCUCAGAAUAAGAUGAUACUGGUGAUCAGGCAGGCCCAGCGCCACCACCGCGCCCCAUGGCGGCUGGUUCCAAGUGCAAACAUCAGUGUCACACAGCCCAGCACGUGGCCCGACGUUCACUGUGCUGUGUCAGCUAAGGCAGUCACGAUGGCCAGCCCGGUUCCAGGGCAGGGAGCAGCCCCACCAGGACCAGCGGAGGGCACACAAGUGGGAGAUGCUAUGCCGGCAUCUUUAGAGACUCGCCUGCUACACGUGAAUCAAAUCACUGUAAUCCUCACACCCCCAUCUGAGGCAGACGUGUGUUCCUGGUGAGCAACCGGGGGAGCAGCGCAGUCAGUAUUAUAUGCUCAGAAAUGAAGUCUAAGAUGGAGCAAGAUGAAAGUCGGGGUCACCCUCCGCCACCCCCGUCUCUCGUCCCGUCCCCGAGAGGCCCUAACAGAGCUGGCUCUAGACUUACAGUUAAGGCAGCCUCCGCCUGGCGCCGCCCGUGUCACGCCUGCAUCUACGAAUUCGUUUAUUCCUGGGCUCCUGUUCUCCUGAGUUCCAGCUCUCUCACUUACCAUUCGGUGGCCCCCAGAGACCAUCAGAUGAGAAAGGGAGGGCACACAGAGAGGUGGAGGUGACGUGAUGACGCAGGCAGAGACGGGGCAACGCAGCCACCAGCCCAGGACAAGGAUGCUGGCAACUCCAGGAGCCGGAGGAGGCCCGGCCAGAUUCGCCUUGGAACCCGCAGGAGGGAGGGCCCAGCCCUGCAACCCCUGAUCCCAGAGCUCUGGCCUCCCGGCUGUGACAGGAUAAAGUCUGUUGGAUGCGGCCCCCAGUUUGUGGUUACUUGUUGCAGCUGCCCAAGGCGACCAGCCAGCUGGAUGGCGGGUGAGAGCUGGUGGAGAGCAGGCACAGUAAAUGGUGCAGCCGCGUCUGGACGAUGGGCUGUGGGUCUGCACUGGAACGUUCUUUCGGCUUCCCCGUGUGUUUGAAAAUUUUUCAUGACAAGUGUUGGAGAAGAAAUGAAAUGUUAGCAAAAUAGAAACCUGUCUCUCCCCACCACCGCUUAACAAAAUCUGAACAGAUGUUUAAAGACCAGCAGUGUGAAGGGCAGCUGAACUCUGGCCAGCGGGUCCAGGCCACCCGGAUGUCCCCGUGCUACCUGCACAGAGGCCUUCCCCUCCCCGCUCCACCUCAGCCUGGCCUCCCACUCCUGCACCCCAGCCUGCCUGACCUCCAUCGGGUCACCCGUCCCGGUGAGGCCUUAGCAGGAGGACCCUAUUUCUCGCCAACGUGUGAGGCUAGACAUUCUAGGGACGGAGGGCAGGGCCACGUCCUGCUCUGCCCAUGGCGGCCACCCCGAGAGCCCUGGAGCAGGACAACCCCUUGGGAGCAGGGCCCCUCUGUGCCUGGCUCUGCCUGCCGCCAGUGCCCAGAACAGGGCCCGACCCACAGGCCACAGUCAGCACUCGCCCAUUCAAGUGACGAGUGAACGAGAGCAUUAGCCAGCACCCCGCAGUUGCCUCUGUCCUGGGGACGCCGUGGUGGACACGAGGGCGCUCACAGCCGUUUAGGUGAGUCCCUGUCUCGGGCAGAGGAAAUAGCUCUUAGCUCUUUUCAUGUCAUAGCUGUUGUUAUUCAAGCAGAAUAAAUAUGACCAGCCACCAGGGGGAGGCUGGCCUCCUGCCUGCCGCCCCAAGGAGCCGGUGGGCCUCCCCCAAGAGCGGCUCUGGUCCUGUCCCCUCCCCUUUGUGAUCCGGCCUGGAAGCAGGACACAAGCCUCUGUUUGGACCUCAGCACCACAACCUCUUGCUGAGAAUCUCAGGCAAGUCGCUUUGCCUCUCCGGCCCCCAUGUUCGUCGUGAAAUGGGUACAGCGCCAGCAGCCUCGGAGGCGGCCUGAGAGCCAGGGCCGUAGUGCAGGUAAAGUACCGUAGACAGCCUGCAGCUGAGCAGCGUUGCUGUUGCAGGUGCUUGGAUGGCCACCUGGCGUUAGACGUUUUCUCCUGGAACAAAGUCCAUGUUGGGGUGAAGGAGGGGAAAUCCCUGUCGAGAGACAGGCCACGCCCACACAGACAGAUCCAGGUCCUAUUCCCGGGCCCUGGGUAAGUAAGCAAGAUGCCUGGGAGGGGCCUGCACCCCGGAGAGGAAAAGGGCGGGAGGAAGGUUGGGCAGAGGAAGUCCAGCUGGGUGCAGGUCAGAGACGGGAGUGAUGGGGCCACAAGCCCAGGGACACCUGGGGCCCCCAGAAGCUGGAAGAGGCAGGAAGACCCUCCCCUGAGCCUCUGGAAGGAGCGUGGCCCUGCACACACCUUGACUUCAGGCUUCGGGCUUCCAGAACGGUAAGAGAACGCAUUCCUGUUGUUUCUGGCUUGUGGUGCUUCGUUGCAGCAGCCCCAGGAAGCAAGCACGACACCCCAAGCCUGCCCCUCACACAGCGUCCCCCCGUUGAGAGACGACUGCUCCUUCCUGGUUUCCUAGGUCGAUAGGAGGACCUUGGCGCCUUCCCAAUUCCUGUCCUCCCGGCCACGUCCAGCGCGUUGGCGCGUGCUGGCGCGUCACCGGCAGCUGGGUGCCGGCGCGCACAGUGGGCCAGGGACAUGGGCUCGGAGCAAGGGCAUCCGACCAGGACGAGAAGGACUCGUAUCCAGACGCACGUCCCCAGCCCCGCCUCUGCUGCCUAGGUUUGCAGUGGCUUUAGCCGGCCUCCUGCUUGUAUCCAUUCAUUCAUUCAUUCUAGGAAUGGGCUCACGUGAUUAUGGAGGCUAGGGAGUCCCACAACCUGCCGCCUGCAAGCCGGCGGCUCAGGACAGCCGGUGGGGUAGAUCGGCCCGCGUUCUAAGGCCUGAGAACCAGAGGAGCCGACGGGGUGAAGCCCGGUCCGAGGGCAGGAGGAGGUGAGACGAGGUGUCCCUGAUCGCCAGGGAGGCGGGAAGAAGGGGGGCGUCCUCCUGCCUGCACCUUGGGCGCUACUCAGGCCCUUCUGGACUGGAGAGGCCCGACGCCGGCGAGGCCUCUGCGGCAGGGGCCCGCGGCCAGGCGAGCUGACACACGAGGCGCUGUCUCCGCCUCUCCUACCUCCCGGGUCUCACGCCCUCCCCGGUGCCCGUUUGGCUCAGAGGCCGCGUCACAGCAGCGAUAGGUGACGGGCCUGCGCACACGCCCCACUGCUCCCCGCCGGGCAGCCUGCUCGCCCCCGCUGACCUUCCCCGGGCAUCACGUGGCUCGCUCCCUCACCUCCUCCAGAUAAGGCACCUGCUCAGCCGGCCCUGCUCUGCCCUUUGAGUACCCUCGUUCCCUACCGUCUUCCUAAUGUAUUUUUCCGUGUGACACUGGACAGGACACACAGCAGCCCGGCUGCGUCCCAAGCCCGGAACACCAGCACACAGUGGGCACCCAAGCCGUGCCACCCGAGGGAGUGGCAGCUGGAGCCCAAGGCACAGCGCUGGGGCAGCGUGGAAGCCCCACACCGUGUGGCCACUUAGUGUGCCCCCUGCCCCCGCCCUGGCCCAGGGCACAGUGACGGGACCCAGAUGGCACUGUUGGCAGUUGUAGCCGUGAGGCUCUGCCUCAUGGAAGGACCUUGUGUGGCAGGUAGCACGUUCUGACCCUGCCUCGGGGAUUCUCAGUCUGCUGCAGCCAGAGACACUUUGCAGCGGGUGUAGAGCUAACCCGCCCCCCCCAAGUUGAGGGCUGGCCUUUGUCCAGCUCCAGGAGGGACCCGAGGCCCCGGGCGUCCUGAUGGGAGCGCCGUCUGCGGGGCCGCGGCCCGUCAGAGUCCCCGAUGGGGGUCACGGCGGGGCUUUGGGCUGAGUGGCAUCCGCUCCCCCUCCGGAGGGGCUGGACACUGGGGGCAGCCACGUGGGUCCCACAGCCCCGGUAAAAACGGGACGCCGAGGCGGGGAGCCCCCGGCUGGCAGCACCCCGUGCGUGUGCUGUCGCACGUCAGGGCCCACGGGGAAGACACCGGACGCUCGUGGUCGGGGAUCUCCGGGGUCUGUCCUGCGCCCUUCCCUUGGCCGGGGUACUUCACGCCCCCUCCCUGCAGUGAACCAGGACCGUGAGCACAGAGCCCUGAGGGGGCUCGGGUAGUCCUCCCAGGGGGUUGUCCAACCCGAGGGGAUCUCAGGGGCCUUGGACUCGUAGUCGGUGUCAGAAGCAGGGCUCUUGUGUGCACUAGGCUCCUCCUAACUUUGAGGGUGGCUAACGCUCACACGAUGGCCAGCAGAACUGCUUCCAAAACUCACACGGGGCACCUUCUGUGCUCUGUCUCGCUGCGUCCCAGUAACGAGAAGAGAGCCUGACACAGAGCGGGGGCUUAAUCAAUACCGGCUGGAAUCAGUCAAUUGCCCGGUUUGAUGUGAGGGUCGGGGAGAAGCAGGGGUGCCUUCCAGAUUCCAGGAGCGCUGUCUGGGCCUGAGGACCCAGGCACUGGGUCACCGUGACAGAGAGAAAGGCCAGGGGGCGGGUUGACCCCUCUGCUAGCACCUGACCCCUUGCUGCUUCCCAGGGAAAGCGUUGGCCCCGUGAGACUCGGAGAUGACCUUCCGUCGCAUCUAUGUGGGCAGCGGGUCCUCCCAGGCUGCAGGGGCUUCCUGCUCCGAGGGCUCCGUCCCGGCCCUGGGAGCGCCAGGUGGCCUCUGGUGAGCCGAGGGUCCCUCAGUGCACGGUCUCACCUUGACCCCGGCCGCAGUUCACUCCCAGGUCACAUAGGCUGAGCUCACUGGGAGCUGCGCCGUCGUCCACUCGUACUCACAGCCUCUGCCCCUCACCCAGUGGUGGCCGCGCGUUCACGCGCUCUCCCCACUGCCACAGCAGGGUCCGCUCUCAGGCCUUCACCCAGGCCUCUAUUUGACGCCCCCCCCCCCAGCCCCUGGCCUCCUUUUUAACUGUGACCUAAGCCCCCUGGGCCCUGUCUUUGCCAGCCCUCACCACCGACUGUCACCCAUCUGACUCACUUAUUGUGUCUCACUGGGGUGAGGAUUGGGGCCUGACUGCAAGCAGCGCUCAAGAGCAGGGCCAGCCGGCUGCCUGGGGCGCCUGCCGACUCCUCGACCCCUUGGCCCCCAUGAGACCCGCAUCGGGCUCCUGGCCUCCAGACCGAGGGAGUGCCUCUGGCGUGGCCCUCCCUCCGGCAGCCGGGAAACCGCACGCCCGGUGACAGUUGUGAGAGCACAUUCAUCCCACGGGCUUUGCCAAAAUCAAUCUGUUUGAACAACCCUCUGACAGAGCCCUGGGGUGGGGGGACAGACGGAAGCAGCUGUCACCAACAGCUGGUGGGUGCCAGGAGCCUCCCGCAGGGCCUCCCUGCAGGCCCAGAAUGGCCCUGGGCUGUCCCCACCCUCUGGCUACAUCCCUGCUUCUACUCGCUGCUUGUGGUCGCCUGGAGGCUGUGGGGUGGAGAAGGAUUGCAUGUGUUAGAUGAGUAACGCGGCUGAUUAAAUUUGCUGGGCAGGCUCAUGGCACACCACGCCGUCUCUCCCUGGGGGGCAGAGCAUCUGUUUGAGGUCGUUGAAAAGACGGUGAUUGAGACAUCCUGAGGACUAGAUCCUGCCAUGAGCGCACAGCCCCCAAGGACAAAAUCCUGGCCCCAUCACUCAGGCUCCAGACCCCCCGAGGGGGGCGGGGAAAUAAAGCCCAGGAACACAAACAGGCGUCUAGCAGCUCCCGGGUACUGAGAAUGGGGGCAGGUCACCAUCUGUGCCUUUCCUGGAAUUUCCCUGCCCCACACUUCCCCAUCCUGCUGUGGACCCGGACAGGGCAAGUCAGGGGCUCCCUGCCCUCCGGCCACCACUGAGUCCAGCCCAGGGAGCGUCCACAGGAAAGCAGGGUCAGGGGCAAGAGAGGGAGGCCCCCUGGAUGCCGCCCUUGACCUAUCUGGACCACAGCCCCUGCGGGCACCCUGCCCACGUAGGGUCCCCUCCUCUCUCCCUCCCCGUGUGUCUGUCUCACUCCCUCGGUUCCCAUGUCCCCUCCCCUCCGCCCUUCAGCCCCAGGUGGGACAGCUCCUCCUGUGCCAGCCCCACCUGUGGAUGCCCACGCCCCAAACACACCUGUGUCCCUUUGCAACACGGCAACUGUACUUCCUGUGAAAAAAAAAAAAUGUUUGGUAGUUGCCCUAGAGUCUGCGAUGUACAUUCACAACCAAUCCAAGUCCACUUCCAAUAACACUGCCGGGCUCCACAGGCAUGUCCACACCUUCCUGGAACACUGCUCUGUUCACAUCCCCAUAAGCUAUAACCCCCCGAUACAUUGUGCUGGGAUCAUUCUGAAGAAACUGUUACGUGUUAGGACAACUAGAAUAAGAAAAAGAGAAGAUUUUAUUGUGCCUUCAUUUAUUCCUUCUCCAGCUCUCUUCUCUUCUGCAGACCUGAGCUCUGGCCUAAAUCAUUCUCCGUCUGCCUGAAGGCCGUCGUCCACCAUUUCUUUCGAGGCAGGUUCCUGGCGCCUGUUUCUUUUCUAUACCUUCCUCAGAGGGCCCAGGUGGAGGGUGCCUGACUCAUUCCAUUUCAUUUAAACCUACGAUUUUCAACAACCCUACGACAUGGGCAUGAUUUUGCGUGUCCUACAGGUGAGGAAACUGAGGCCCAGAUUGCUGUGUGCACAGCGUUGGAGGUCAUUCACCCACGCAAUGACUUCAGAGCCAGGCUCCGAACCACUGCACCUGCACCCAGGAGACUCUGCGGGAUGGGUGAGAGAUGAGCUUCAGUUGGCCCAGCCCUGCCUGGCCCUCCUGGGAGCCCCCGGCCUCCUUCCACCUCCUGCCAGCCGUGUCGCUAACGCCGCUGUGGGCCACACCCUCAAGCCUGGCUUCUUCCCUCAUCAGGACGCAGGACGCGGCCUCACGUCCUCUGAGAGGCUCGUGAAGCGCCUGCCCAGCUGCCAGCUGGCCCAGUUGUUGCCAUGGAAAAGCCCAGAGCGUGUGGGCCGCCUGGCAGCCCGACACCCGCUCCCCUGGGACCCCCCGGCCAGGCUGCUGGCCCAGUGCCCAGAGCACACAUGUGGCUGGGGACCUGCUCCCAGCGGGCCUCACUGAGGACAGCCAGAGGCCUUCCCUGGGAGGGACAGGCGAUGCUGGGCCCCUCUGCAUCCGUCAGGGCCAGGGGGGCCCCACUGCGGGCGACAGGGCUCUCUCUGCCUGCCCACCUCCCUCCCCCUUUUUGCUAAUGGCACGCCAGCCUGCUUUGAGGAGCAGCCUCCUCCUGUGAGUACAGACUCAGGGGCCCCACCCUCACCUUGGUCAAACCCAGGUCUGGCCAGUCAGCAGGUGUCACUCCCCUACCUCUGUCUGUGUCACACAGGUUGGUCCAGGUCUGGGCAGGUAACCUUAGUCAAACCAGUGAUACUCCUGGAUACGUGCAAACGCCUAGCAAAGGCAAAUGGCUGAGCACAGAGCCAGGGAGACUCAGAUGUGUCGGCCUGGGUUGACCUCUGGUUCAAGCCAUACCUGAAACCAGUAUCCCUGGCAUCUCCCAUUGCCUGAGGUAGCACAGCUCCAUUUUUAUUCAUGCCUGACUGGGUUGGGUUUUUGUCACUUUGGGGAGAGCCCUCACUAACACUCUUUGGGUCCUAAGAAGAUCCCUCCAGGUAGGCUGUGUCCUGUGUGCCUUUACACAAACCACCCCCCGGGAGCUUUGGUCUCUGUGUCGUGGGGACUGGGUGCUACAAUGGCUCUCACUGUGAGAGCAUCCUCCACUCUGUGUCAUCAGGAGGACGUCAAAAGAAUCUCCUUGUGACGUCAGCCUUUCCCAUCUUCAGAAAAAUGUCAGGGCGCCCAGGGAAGCAAGAAGGGCCGAGCGUUGUCUCUUUAACAGAGGUUUGAGCUGCCUGCCUCACCGCAGCAAGAAGAGACUUGUCUGUGCACAGCCAGCCAGGAGGUUCUUUCUUGUUUCCACCCUUGUGUUCCAACUUGUGCCCAGCUCUUUGCCCUGGGACUCAUUCCUUGCCCAUUCCUGACCCGGCAGGUGGAGCCUCCCAGGCUGGCUUCUGCCUGGGCUCAGCCAGAAGGAGCCUUCGGUGGGAGACUGUGUGUCCAUCACCCUGGAUAGGAGCCCGUGGCCCUCAGUACUUCCUGCAAGACCUGGUGUGGGUGUUCCAAGUGGGGCUUGAGAGACUGGGAAGGAGUCACUCCACAUCCAACUCUGCCUUCUUGGAGGAAAAUUCCACAACUUACCCCAACUGUGAGCAAGUCCCCAUGUCUCCCCAGCACAUCACAUCUAUGAGUAGUGACACUGCAAAGAGUGAGACUGAAGCCAAUAUAUUGGUCCUUCAGCAAAGCCGUGAUAUUUCCAACGUGCCCCCCUGACUCUCCCCAUGCAGGCAAAGCACUGUUGCCUGACAUCUGGGCUGGAGACCCCAGUGCCAGAGAAGUCUUCCCUGCGUCCCUCACCACUAUCACCACCUCCGCCUCCACUUUCACUCUCAGGAUGUUGAUGAUGGGGGUGGAGACAAUGAGGAGGAGGAAGAUGGUGAAACAGUUGAUGAAGAAAGCGAUGGUCGUAAUGAUGGAGGUGAGGGUGGUGAUGAUGGAGGUGAGGGUAGUGAUGAAGAAGGUGAU
Long non-coding RNA from Aethalodelphis obliquidens (Pacific white-sided dolphin), 11146 nucleotides. RefSeq lists it as uncharacterized. NCBI's taxonomy places the organism in Eukaryota, Metazoa, Chordata, Mammalia, Artiodactyla, Delphinidae. The record is from RefSeq and is a predicted model, not a curated record. The transcript is spliced from 3 exons.